GGGGUUGUAGCUCAGUGGUAGAGUGCUUGCCUAGCAUGUAUGAGGUACUGGGUCCGGUUCUCAGCCCUA
RNAcentral lists this transfer RNA (69 nucleotides) under Ictidomys tridecemlineatus (thirteen-lined ground squirrel). Its description in RNAcentral is "Spermophilus tridecemlineatus (thirteen-lined ground squirrel) tRNA". It matches the Rfam family "tRNA". Rfam says of the family: Transfer RNA (tRNA) molecules are approximately 80 nucleotides in length. Their secondary structure includes four short double-helical elements and three loops (D, anti-codon, and T loops). Lineage: Eukaryota; Metazoa; Chordata; Mammalia; Rodentia; Sciuridae. The record is from Rfam by way of RNAcentral.